RNAcentral lists this ribosomal RNA (292 nucleotides) under uncultured Methylophilaceae bacterium. Its description in RNAcentral is "partial 16S ribosomal RNA". It matches the Rfam family "Bacterial small subunit ribosomal RNA", at positions 505 to 796 of the family's 1533-position model. The record is from RNAcentral. Lineage: Bacteria; Pseudomonadati; Pseudomonadota; Betaproteobacteria; Nitrosomonadales; Methylophilaceae.
GUGUCAGCAGCCGCGGUAAUACGUAGGGUGCGAGCGUUAAUCGGAAUUACUGGGCGUAAAGCGUGCGCAGGCGGUUUUGUAAGUCAGAUGUGAAAUCCCCGAGCUCAACUUGGGAACUGCGUUUGAAACUACAAGGCUAGAGUAUGGUAGAGGGGGGUAGAAUUCCACGUGUAGCAGUGAAAUGCGUAGAGAUGUGGAGGAAUACCAAUGGCGAAGGCAGCCCCCUGGACUAAUACUGACGCUCAUGCACGAAAGCGUGGGGAGCAAACAGGAUUAGAAACCCCAGUAGUCC